Molecule: long non-coding RNA, 527 nt
Organism: Hemicordylus capensis (graceful crag lizard)
Lineage: Eukaryota; Metazoa; Chordata; Lepidosauria; Squamata; Cordylidae
Exons: 2
Source: RefSeq, a predicted model, not a curated record
GGGAAUCGCGCGGCCAUUGGGCAGCUGCGGGCGCGCGCAGUUCAACUUCCCGGGUUCCGAUAGGGGGCGAGGGAAGCGCGGUGGGGGGGGGAGAAGAACGUGGCGCGGGAGCCCUACUCUGUGAUUGGCUCUUGGGGAGGGGCGGUCUUCGCCACGCUUCCUUCCUCCUCCCCGCCGAUUGGGAGCACGACGACGGCGCUUUUUGAUUUCGCUAGUCGCUAGGAAAUACAUAAGAGCAUGCGCAGGAGGCGCGCUGGCGCGUGGGAGGGGGUGCUUGGUCACUGGCCUGCCCGACCUGACUCGUCGUUAUUUAGUAGCAUCUCCAAGAGAGGGCUGAGAGAGACUCCUGCCUGCCACUGUGGAGAAGCCGCUGCCAGUCUGGGUAGACAACCCUGAGCGAGAUGGACCAAUGGCCUGGCUCAGUAGAAGGCAGCUUCCUGUGUUCCCUCGCCAACAGCACUAAAGCACAGAACCAUAAAGUGCAUGGAAUAUUGAGUUGCUGUGACAAUAAACCUGUUUUACUGAUA